CGCGUAGGUGGUAGUGUAAGUCUGGGGUGGAAUCCCAGGGCUCAACCCUGGAACUGCCUUGGAAACUGCAUUACUUGAGUCAGUGAGGGGAGGGUAGAAUUCCUGGUGUAGCGGUGAAAUGCGUAGAUAUCAGGAGGAAGGCCUGUGGCAAAGGCGGCCCUCUGGCGCUGGACUGACACUGAGGCGCGAAAGCGUGGGGAGCAAACAGGAUUAGAUACCCUGGUAGUCCACGCCCUAAACGGUGGGCACUAGGUGUAGGGCUCGUAAGGGUUCUGUGCCGAAGGGAAACCAUUAAGUGCCCCGCCUGGGGAGUACGGCCGCAAGGUUGAA
This 330-nucleotide ribosomal RNA is filed under the name uncultured bacterium. RNAcentral describes it as "bacterial SSU rRNA". It matches the Rfam family "Bacterial small subunit ribosomal RNA", at positions 568 to 898 of the family's 1533-position model. The record is from RNAcentral.